AUGCAUGGUAGGGAUGAUGGAAACAUGCGCACAGAAUCAAGAGAUUAUCACCUGAACAGAGACAAGUAUCCCAAUGGUGGCGACACUUGUCACCACCGGACCAGCCAACCAAACCAACAUAAUAAUAAUCAAAACGAACAAAUUAUUAUUAACAUGAGGCAGAGUACGGCGGCGAUCUUGAAGAUCCACGGCGGAGAUGAUGAACCUGACGUCGGGGCCGUCCUAAAAAGAAACAUCAUAAAAAAGAUAGAUCUAGAAGAGGUGAACCGGAACCCUAAGAUUUCUACUUGA
Non-coding RNA from Vicia faba (fava bean), 291 nucleotides. Lineage: Eukaryota; Viridiplantae; Streptophyta; Magnoliopsida; Fabales; Fabaceae. The record is from the annotation of a GenBank genome assembly.